CCGACACAGGUGGGGUGGUAGAGAAUACCGAGGGGCGCGAGGUAACUCUCUCUAAGGAACUCGGCAAAAUGGCCCCGUAACUUCGGGAGAAGGGGUGCCACCGCAAGGUGGUCGCAGUGAAGAGGCCCAGGCGACUGUUUACCAAAAACACAGGUCUCCGCUAAGUCGCAAGACGAUGUAUGGGGGCUGACGCCUGCCCAGUGCCGGAAGGUUAAGGAAGCUGGUCAGCGUAAGCGAAGCUAGCGACUGAAGCCCCGGUGAACGGCGGCCGUAACUAUAACGGUCCUAAGGUAGCGAAAUUCCUUGUCGGGUAAGUUCCGACCCGCACGAAAGGCGUAACGAUCUGGGCGCUGUCUCGGAGAGAGGCUCGGCGAAAUAGAAUUGUCUGUGAAGAUGCGGACUACGUGCACCCGGACAGAAAGACCCUAUGAAGCUUUACUGUAGCUUGGUAUUGUGCUCGGGCUCGGAAUGCGCAGGAUAGGUGGGAGGCUAUGAACCAUUGCUUGUGGGUGAUGGUGAGCCACUGGUGAGAUACCACUCUUUCCGAGCUAGAGUUCUAACAGCCACCCGUUAUCCGGGGGCUGGACAGUAUCAGGUGGGCAGUUUGACUGGGGCGGUCGCCUCCUAAAAGGUAACGGAGGCGCGCAAAGGUUUGCUCAGGCUGGUUGGAAAUCAGCCGACGAGUGUAAAAGCAGAAGCAAGCUUGACUGUGAGACCUGCAAGUCGAACAGGGAGGAAACUCGGCUUUAGUGAUCCGACGGUUCUGCGUGGAAGGGCCGUCGCUCAACGGAUAAAAGUUACUCUAGGAUAACAGGCUGAUCUCCCCCAAGAGUUCACAUCGACGGGGAGGUUUGGCACCUCGAUGUCGGCUCAUCGCAACCUGGGGCUGAAGUCGGUCCCAAGGGUUGGGCUGUUCGCCCAUUAAAGCGGUACGCGAGCUGGGUUCAGAACGUCGUGAGACAGUUCGGUCCAUAUCCGGUGCAUGCGCAGGAAUAUUGAGAGGAUUUCUCCCUAGUACGAGAGGACCGGGAGGAACGCACCUCUGGUGUACCAGUUAUCGUGCCAACGGUAAACGCUGGGUAGCCAUGUGCGGAGAGGAUAACCGCUGAAAGCAUCUAAGUGGGAAGCCCACCUCAAGAUGAGUAUUCCCAUGGGGUAACCCAGUAAGGUCACGGGAAGAACACCCGUUGAUAGGCUCUACGUGGAAGCGCAGUAAUGUGUGAAGCGGAGGAGUACUAAUAGACCGAGGGCUUGACC
RNAcentral lists this ribosomal RNA (1257 nucleotides) under metagenome. RNAcentral's name for it is "bacterial LSU rRNA". It matches the Rfam family "Bacterial large subunit ribosomal RNA", at positions 1654 to 2925 of the family's 2925-position model. The record is from RNAcentral.